CACUGUUGGGGAAGGGUCCACGCGUGUCCUUGCUCCGGUGCUCGUGUUUUUCGACAGCAAGCACACACCUCAGCAGAAGCAGCAGCAGCAGCAGCAGUAUUUUGGCUUGCCAUAAGCGGACAGCAGCAGCGGAUAAAAACGCAUUCUCGCACUUAAAGCACUUCCAUUCUUCAUUUUCGAUGUUAAAAAGGGAUACUUGAAGCGAUACAAUUAUCUGGUUGUCAAACAGAAAAGCAAACAAACAAAAAAAACCUUUUAACAACAAGAUACGAAGUGAAGGCGGAAGCCGCGUGUGUGUUCUAAGUUGCGAAAGUUUGCAAUUUGCGUUUUUUUGAAAAGAAGCGAGAAGCGCAGUUUGUGUUCAGUGAGAGUGAGUGAGUAAAGCAAAAGAAUCCCGGAAAAUUGGCAGCAAAUAGUGGUCGGAAGUGAGGGAAGCAAAAUUGUUCGAUUGCAUCGCAAAAAGAAAAGUGAGAGUGAGUGGGUGGGGCAAUUGCGAAGGUGUGCGGAGCGUGAUUGAAAGUAAGCAGCAAGCGAGCGAGAAAAGUGAGAAGCGCUGGGAGGAAGCGAGUUUUUGAAAAAGGUUUUCGCAAAAAGUGUAUGAAGUGGAAAACGAAAGGAAGGAGCCUGCUGGAGAAGGCAAAGAAAAACCGAGAGGGAAAAGGCAGCACAAGCGGAAGAGAAGAGGGAGGGUAGUAAAUCAGCAUUUCUUCGGUAUUUUGUCUUAAUAUUUAGCGCAAGUUGUGGUGUCACCCGCGCAGAAGAAAAGCAAUAGCUGUUCUUCUUCUUCGCUUUAGGUCGGGAUUUGCAUUUUUCUUUUCUUGGAUGUAAAUGUGUGCGUGUGUUUCGUGUGUGUUUCACGUGCGCUUGUGUGUGCGUGCAGAAAGGAAGAUGACAAUGUCAUUCAAGUUUUAAUCAGCAACGAAAAGGCACACGGAAGGAAAACAAGUUGGCACAUUCCACCGACUGUGAACGGGAAGGUCUUUUCGCUUUAUCGAUUUCGGGAUAAGUAUCGCAGAACGAGGUGGCAAAAAAAGUGCAUGAGAAAGUGAGGCUGGUGAAGGCUGCACUGGUUGAGAGGGUAGUGUGGAAAGCUUCCCCCUAUCUCUCUCUCCCAGCCUGCAGCUAGGGAAAAAGGGCGACUCGCCCGUUCGUGUUGCGGGGGUGGUAAGAGCGCCAACAACAACCCUCCAUAGCGCGCUGCUCCAUCAGGCCUCCAUCGGCCGAAAAGUUCCGGAAACAAGGAGGAGAAAAUUAAUCUAAAUUCUCGCAGCGAAGUAAAAGUUUCGUCCCAAAAGCGCUCCGACUCCGGCAACGGGCAACGACGACAGCCAACGGUCAAAGGCAUGGAUUACGAGGCGCUGCUUUUGCUGUUGCUAGCCUAAGAAGGAAGCGGAACAUCAUCUUCCCUUGCGAACAAGAGAGACGGAGGACGUUUAAGUUGCGAACGAUAGCGCAGGCGGCAGCGUGCAAGAGAAAGCGGAUCGAUUCUAUAGUUCCAAGGUGUUAAAAGCAGUGGCCGAUUGUUAGCUUCCUCUCUCUCUCUCUGUACUUGGGAAACGGUGACGGCUGGUGACAUGACGAUGGUGUCGACGUCUGGUGGACAGUAGCGAAAAAAACAUGCAUCAGGAAGAAACGCUUUCGGUACAGUACCAAUCUCAGCGACGACGCGGUGAUCGAGGAAGAGGAGUGAAAGCACGGAAGGAAGGAACAGCAGCAGAAAGAAGAUGUCGUCGCCAGUCGCACUAGCUGGGACGCCGCACCGAUAGCUGUGUGUGAGAAAGAACGAGCCUCCACUAUUUAGCCGAACCCAAUGCA
This is a long non-coding RNA of Anopheles merus, 1815 nucleotides long. RefSeq lists it as uncharacterized. The record is from RefSeq and is a predicted model, not a curated record. The transcript is spliced from 3 exons. NCBI's taxonomy places the organism in Eukaryota, Metazoa, Arthropoda, Insecta, Diptera, Culicidae.